CACUGCUGGUCAGUGCUGGUCAGCGCUGGUCACUGCUGGUCAGUGCUGGUCAGUGCUGGUCAGUGCUGGUCACUACUGGUCAGUGCUGGUCAGUGCUGGUCAGUGCUAGUCACUACUGGUCACUACUGGUCACUGCUGGUCACUGCUGGUCAGUGCUGGUCAGUGCUGGUCACUGCUGGUCAGUGCUGGUCAGUGCUGGUCAGUGCUGGUCACUGCUGGGCACUACUGGUCAGUGCUGGUCACUGCUGGUCAGUGCUGGUCAGCGCUGGUCACUACUGGUCACUACUGGUCAGUGCUGGUCAGUGCUGGUCAGUGCUGGUCACUCUGGGCAGUUACUGGUCACUCUGGGUCAGUCAUUGGUCACUCUGGGGCAGUUAUUGGUCACUCUGGGUCAGUCAUUGGUCACUCUGGGUCACUCUGGGUCAGUUAUUGGUCACUCUGGGUCAGUCAUUGGUCACUCUGGGUCACUCUGGGUCAUUUAUUGGUCACUCCAGGGCUCUCUGGGUCACUUACUGGUCACUCAUGGGUCACUUUUUGGUCACUUCUGGGUCAGUUUUGGGUCAUUUGUAGAUGAAUUCUGGGUCAAAUUUGCGUCGUUUUCAGGUCAGUUUUGAGUCACUUUUGGGUCAAUUUCAGGUCAUUUUGGGUCAGUUUGGUGUAAAUUUUGGAUCAGUUUGAGGUUCAGUUUGGGAUCAAUUUUGGGUCAUUUCUGUGUAAAUUUUGGGUCGGUUUUUAAGUAACUUUUGACCAAUUUGGGAUUAAUUUUGGGUCAAUUCAUGAUCAAAGUUUGGGUCACAUUUGGGUCAGGUUAGGGCUGGAUUUAGGACCGUUAUGGGGUCAUAUUUUAGUCAAUUUUGUGUCAAUUUCAGCUCAAUUUUAGUGUCACUUUUCAGUCAUUUUGAGCCGAUUUCCCCUCUUUCUCCCCCAUUUUCCCAUCCACCAGGGGGCGCUGCUGGGCACGCAGGUGCUGCUGCUGACGUCAUCGGCGGCGGGGGCGGUGCUGGCUGUGAUUGGCUGCGUGGCGGCCACCAGGGUGCGCCCCAAGGCAACGCCAGUGGUGAGUGACAGGAGGGGCGUGGCCAUGGGGUGAUUAAUGAGGGGGGUGUGGUUUAUAAAGGUGUUGCAUCCUUAUAUGGGCAUUGAGGGGGGAUGUGGGCGUGGCAUACACUGACCACGCCCCCCUGUCCCGCCCCCAGCCCGUGGUGAUCUAUCAGACAGCGAUGCCUGCCCCAGGGGUGGGGCCAGCUGAAGCCACGCCCCCUGCUCAACAAUAAAGACCAAUCACUGCUGAGAGUGCA
This 1298-nucleotide long non-coding RNA is filed under the name Serinus canaria (Common canary). RNAcentral's name for it is "lncRNA (ENSSCAG00000006826.1)". The record is from RNAcentral. Lineage: Eukaryota; Metazoa; Chordata; Aves; Passeriformes; Fringillidae.